UACGGGGGGGGCAAGCGUUGUUCGGAAUUACUGGGCGUAAAGGGCUCGUAGGCGGCCAACUAAGUCAGACGUGAAAUCCCUCGGCUUAACCGGGGAACUGCGUCUGAUACUGGAUGGCUUGAAUCCGGGAGAGGGAUGCGGAAUUCCGGGUGUAGGCGGUGGAAUGGCGUAGAGAUCCGGAAGAACACCGGUGGCGAAGGCGGCCCGGCUGGGGUGGAGCUGGACGCUGA
RNAcentral lists this ribosomal RNA (230 nucleotides) under uncultured bacterium. RNAcentral describes it as "partial 16S ribosomal RNA". It matches the Rfam family "Bacterial small subunit ribosomal RNA", at positions 524 to 749 of the family's 1533-position model. The record is from RNAcentral.